GUGGUUGUGUCUCAGUGGUAGAGUGCUUUCCUCACAUGUGUGAGGCACUGGGGUCAAUCCUCAGCACCAUA
This 71-nucleotide transfer RNA is filed under the name Marmota monax (woodchuck). Its description in RNAcentral is "tRNA.Val". The record is from RNAcentral. Lineage: Eukaryota; Metazoa; Chordata; Mammalia; Rodentia; Sciuridae.